RNAcentral lists this transfer RNA (75 nucleotides) under Sporolactobacillus inulinus. RNAcentral's name for it is "tRNA-Asp". It matches the Rfam family "tRNA". Rfam says of the family: Transfer RNA (tRNA) molecules are approximately 80 nucleotides in length. Their secondary structure includes four short double-helical elements and three loops (D, anti-codon, and T loops). Further hydrogen bonds mediate the characteristic L-shaped molecular structure. tRNAs have two regions of fundamental functional importance: the anti-codon, which is responsible for specific mRNA codon recognition, and the 3' end, to which the tRNAs corresponding amino acid is attached (by aminoacyl-tRNA synthetases). tRNAs cope with the degeneracy of the genetic code in two manners: having more than one tRNA (with a specific anti-codon) for a particular amino acid; and 'wobble' base-pairing, i.e. permitting non-standard base-pairing at the 3rd anti-codon position. The record is from RNAcentral. Lineage: Bacteria; Bacillati; Bacillota; Bacilli; Caryophanales; Sporolactobacillaceae.
GGAUCCGUGGUGUAGGGGUUAACAUGCCUGCCUGUCACGCAGGAGAUCGUCGGUUCAAUCCGAUCGGAUCCGCCA